Molecule: ribosomal RNA, 253 nt
Filed under: uncultured bacterium
Lineage: Bacteria
Description: partial 16S ribosomal RNA
Rfam family: Bacterial small subunit ribosomal RNA
Source: RNAcentral
UACGUAGGGUGCGAGCGUUAAUCGGAAUUACUGGGCGUAAAGCGUGCGCAGGCGGUGAUGUAAGACAGGUGUGAAAUCCCCGGGCUUAACCUGGGAACUGCAUUUGUGACUGCAUCGCUGGAGUGCGGCAGAGGGGGAUGGAAUUCCGCGUGUAGCAGUGAAAUGCGUAGAUAUGCGGAGGAACACCGAUGGCGAAGGCAAUCCCCUGGGCCUGCACUGACGCUGAGGUGCGAAAGCGUGGGGAGCAAACAGG